This 73-nucleotide transfer RNA is filed under the name Sus scrofa (pig). It matches the Rfam family "tRNA". Rfam says of the family: Transfer RNA (tRNA) molecules are approximately 80 nucleotides in length. Lineage: Eukaryota; Metazoa; Chordata; Mammalia; Artiodactyla; Suidae. The record is from Rfam by way of RNAcentral.
UCCCUGGUGGCCUAGUGGUUAAGGAUUCAGCAUUGUCACUGCUGUGGCACAGGCUCAAUCCCUGGCCUGGGAG